UAAACGAUGUCGAUUAGCUGUUGGGCAGCAUGACUGCUUAGUAGCGAAGCUAACGCGUGAAAUCGACCGCCUGGGGAGUACGGUCGCAAGAUUAAAACUCAAAGGAAUUGACGGGGACCCGCACAAGCGGUGGAUGAUGUGGAUUAAUUCGGUGCAACGCGAAGAACCUUACCUGGUCUUGACAUGUACGAACCCUCCAGAGACGGAGGGGUGCCUUCGGGAGCCGUAACACAGGUGCUGCAUGGCUGUCGUCAGCUCGUGUCGUGAGAUGUUGGGUUAAGUCCCGCAACGAGCGCAACCCUUGUCAUUAGUUGCCAUCAUUAAGUUGGGCACUCUAAUGAGACUGCCGGUGACAAGCCGGAGGAAGGUGGGGAUGACGUCAAGUCCUCAUGGCCCUUAUGACCAGGGCUUCACACGUCAUACAAUGGUCGGUACAGAGGGUAGCCAAGCCGCGAGGUGGAGCCAAUCUCACAAAACCGAUCGUAGUCCGGAUUGCACUCUGCAACUCGAGUGCAUGAAGUCGGAGUCGCUAGUAAUCGCAGGUCAGCAUACUGCGGUGAAUACGUUCCCGGGUCUUGUACACACCGCCCGUCACACCAUGGGAGUGGGGGAUACCAGAAGUAGGUAGGGUAACCGCAAGGAGCCCGCUUACC
Molecule: ribosomal RNA, 653 nt
Filed under: uncultured bacterium
Lineage: Bacteria
Description: bacterial SSU rRNA
Rfam family: Bacterial small subunit ribosomal RNA
Source: RNAcentral